GCACUGCUGAUGAGAUCCAACUAGGUCGAAACAGCUGUCCGGUGC
Molecule: non-coding RNA, 45 nt
Organism: Echinostoma caproni
Lineage: Eukaryota; Metazoa; Platyhelminthes; Trematoda; Plagiorchiida; Echinostomatidae
Source: Rfam